This is a long non-coding RNA of Cavia porcellus (domestic guinea pig), 4414 nucleotides long. RefSeq lists it as uncharacterized. The transcript is spliced from 2 exons. Lineage: Eukaryota; Metazoa; Chordata; Mammalia; Rodentia; Caviidae. The record is from RefSeq and is a predicted model, not a curated record.
CGCCAUCAAACCACGCCCGCGGGAAUCCUGUGUGAGACCUGUGACCUGAGGGUGAGCAAGUGUCGUUUUUUGAUCCCAGCAAAGCUUUCUAGGUGGUCCUGGGUUUUCUGUCUCCUUGGUGCAGUUGAAGCCAGCAAAUUAUCAGUCGUGGACUUCGCGGAGAGCUGAUGCAAAGCUUUUACCAAAGCGCUCGACCUGAGGAAACUGGAGAGCAAACUCUGAGCCCCGCUUCUCUGGCUGUGAUUUUUCACCCCAGCCGGCCAGGCGGGGGAAGGCCGGAGCUUCCCUCCCGGCUAAGGAGAAGCUCUUCUCUGCUUGUCUCCCCUCUUUAGAUUCUCUUCAACAAGUAUGACGGAUGUUUACGGUGGUUCUUGGAUCUUACACCCUAAGCGCAGUCAUUGAUUUAUUCUAGCAGCUCUCUUGGCAGGUGCCAUAGGAUUAUUUCCAUAAUCAGGUUGGUGGUAGUGUGGGAGGCAGCUUCACAACAGAAGUUGGGAGGAAAUCUUACUACGUUCGUUGGCUGAUGGGGAUCACUCUCAAAGCCUAAGCUCAGCACUGCGCUCAGGUUAGGGUUUCUAUAGCUUCUGUAAGCCGGAAGAGAUCGUGGGAGUUUAGGACAAACCUUAGUCAUCAGUUACUAAGCAGGCAACUCUUGGGACAGGUUGGUGGGAAACAAUGUGAUCUGGGCUUAGGAAGUACAGAUAGUGCGGCUGGCUGCACCAGCCUUGUCUUGGUUUUAUGUUUUUUGUAAAGAAUGUUUUUAGACUGUUAAAUAUAUGUUUUUUGUAAAGAGUAUAUUUUGUGAUUUUGUUGUAUUAGCCAGAAUGAGCUCUUCUCGUCUCGAUGCAAUAGGCAGGGAGAGUUUAAAGUUUUAAAUUUUUUUAUGGCAGGGCUCACUUUUAUCACUUCCUUUCCGCUUUGGUAUUCUCAGUCCACUGGUCAAAAACAACAAAGCAAUAUCGAGCAGGCGUGGUGUCUUGAUUACUUUUGUCUCUGCUGAGACAGAAUACCCACCACUCAAUAUUGAGGAAAGAAAAGUUUAUUUAGCUUUCAGUUUGUGGAGGUUUCAGUGCAUCAUCAGCUGGUUCGAAGGCAGGUUGGCUUGGCAAUGGGGCAAGACUUCAAGGUAGCAGCCAACAAAAGCAACCAGAGCAAAAGGGGGAAGAACAAGCCUCUUUUCCUCCUUUUUGUUGUACACAGUCCCCCCAUCCCAGGGCCAGUGUAGCACUCACAAAAUAUCUUUGCCCUCCUCUUGCACUAAAUGAGGAUAUUUACAAAUUAAGAAUACUGGCUCUCUGCUGAGUCUCUUUAACUUUUAAACUGCCCAAGUUGGCACAAUGUAUCAACCAUAACAAGUGGUAAGGGCAGCCUAUCUUUCUUAUCUUAGGUAGAAAGCAUUCACUCUUUUACCAUUAAGUGUGAUAUUGACUGUAGGAUUUUUGUAGAUUCCCUUUCAAAGGUUAUGGAUGUUUCCCUUUCUUUUGUAUGUGAUGAAUUUUCAUCAUUAAUGUUACUAAAUUUUUCCCAGUGCUUUUUGUGUGUGCCUAAAGAGAAUUGUUUGUUUCUUCUUUAGACGUGUUAAAAUGCCAUUCAAUUCACAGUGCAUGUGGGACUACAGAUGCUGAACAGAAUCUACCUGUUGUCAUAAAAUGGAAGAAGCAGAGCAGGGCACAUGUGCAAGAUAAGAUACCAACCUUAGGGUGAAAUGCUGAGAAUUUCAGAUGUGAUUUUAAUGUGAUGAGGGGAUCUUUCACUGUCAUCCAUCCCAGGAACACUUGCAUUGGGUCACGGUGGCCUUCUUGCCUAUUCAUCUCAGUUUUAAGCAUAGCAGGUAUUUUUGAAGGUAUCUUUGUUCAACUGAGUCCUGUGCCCUUGGCAUUGCUACAAACAAUCCUUCUGGGUAAAACUAAUGAAUAUGUGAAAAUGGACUAGUUUGGGCUUAAGGGAGCCAGAAUAAUACUUCUGUGUGUGUGUUUUGGGCAUGAUAUUGGCAUAGGAGAGGGAUGAUGUUAAGGUGCACUAAGUAAUUAUCUGAGCGAGUAGUGUAUGCAUAGCUUUUGUGUUUAGCUUCCAAGGAAGAAACGUGAUGCUCUUCUGUUAGCUCAGCCUUCAACUGAAGACCAGAUUCUAAACAAACACUGGUAAAGUAACCAUGAUCCUCCACAAGAUGGUGAGCUCUACCGAGUGGCUCUCAAAUGCCGAUUCCCCUUGCAUCUCAGGAUAACUCCUACAUGAUCAUUGUGUAUUCUUUUCCAAACAAGGGAGGAAGAGUGUCCCAAAGAAUUUACCUGUGCUGUUAGGGCAGAUCAAACAUAAAAUCAGGCUGAUUCCCCCACACAUCAAAUAUAGACAAGAUGAGCUGCUGAACAAGAUUGUGAGAACACAGGGAUCCAAGUGGGUCCCUUGUCCCUGGCCUCCAGUGACCUGAGUCCAAAGGGAAGGAGGAAGGAAGCACACAUCUAUCUGGAGCAUGGCCAGGUGACAGCAGAAGUGGGACAUGUCACUGUGUCAAGCAUCCCUGCAGCCAUUUUCCUAUCCAAGGUAUGGUGUGGGACAUCUGGAUCCCACCUGACAGGAGCCACACAGGAGACAUGAGACAGAAAAGCAGUCAUCCCAGAAUCUGGACAGCUGGUCUCAGCCCUUAGUGCCCCUCAUGCCCUGCAGAUGAGGGAGGACUGGGCUCCCGAGCAGGUGGAUUCCCUAACUAGCAGGGACUUUGUGCAACCAGCAUGGUGAUUCUAACACCGUGAUGACCUGUGGAGAGGAGACUCUGACUGCUGGAGUCAGCAGCUGUAUGACAGAAACACUGGGAUAGAUAAGAGCCAAUCAUGUUUCCGGAGAAUCCUUCAAAGAGCAGAGAACCCUUCCUUUUGGCCUUUCUGAUUGAAAGUCCCAGCGAAGGAUGGACAUGGAUCUACCGUGUGUGGUUCUGGGUCUAAGGGUUUUGCCACUGAAUGAGUCCACUGAUGUGAAUUAGCACAGUUGAGAAUGUGGCCAGCUGGACUCACUCCGGUGGCAGAAACCCCACCCUGGGCAUGGAGGCACCACUCAGAAGGCUGAUACGUGUGGGGGCUACGACUCCUACCCGAUGUCCUGCUGUUACUCACUCCUGCCUGGGAUGUCCACCGCCGGGAGUUCAGCCUUGCAGUCAGCCAUCUGAGGACUGAAACCUCCGAAAACUGUGAGUGAAAAUAAAACAUCCCUCCAUUAAUUGUGGAUGUCACCUAUUUUGUCCCAGCAAGUGAAAAGUAACUAAGACACCAGUGUUCAAAACAAACUUCAGAAGAGAUAAAGAAGAUUAAUCCGUACAGAUGAACGGAACAGUUCACCAGGAAGACACAGCCAUUGCAGAAACAUAGGCGCCCCACACUGGCACACCCAGCUUCACAAGAGAUCAGAGCAGCCACUGAGCAAGACAACAGAGAGUUACAACCUCACCACACCAACCAUUACCGUGGUAGCUGCACAUCGAGCAGGCUCUGCCCAUGUUGUUCCUGUCAGGUCUUAUUUUUGGUGAAACACGGUAGUUCCAUGAAAUUCUAAGUCAGCACUGAGAGAGACCACUGCGAUUAUGUGUACUUGGAGAAUGAACAGUACACUACUGAUUAAUCAAUUGGUCACAGGAGAAGUUAAACCUUUUAGAAUUAAUAAUACUAGAGCCAACUAGAACUGUGGGUCAUAAAGAAUGUACACCAAAGAAUAAAAUCGAUAACUGUGACACCUCGCAUUAAAAAUUGUUCAUUCCAAAAUUAUGGGGUGUACACAUCAAGGUCCUACAGAAAAAAUUUUAAGUCCAAAACUAGAUGGGUCAGUGUGCGUCUGGGGCAGACAGAGCAGCGUGUCUCUGGAGUCUUCUCUAUUCUGUUCUUCUCCAUUUUCUGCAUUAACUUAGAGCUGUCAGGAUGAGGCGUUCCUGCAGCGUGUCCUUGGUUGGCACAGCUGCCUGGGAAUUCUGGCUCCAUGGUGGCAAGGUCUCGUCAUGCUGUGACAGUCUCUAUUUUCAGAGAAGGCAGUGAGGCAUCACAGGCAGAUGAACGGAUAGGUGAUGCCUUCCUGGGCACUGAUGGAACACGUGCAGAUGGAAUGACUCAUCGUGAAGCCCAGAGCAGGAGCACAGGAGCAGGGCUUCGGGACUGAGACCCUACAGAGAGCAUCUCCUACCCCCGCCUGAGCCAGAUUCUCUUCAAAGGGGAAACUGAAGAAGCUCUUAGACCUGAGCCCAUUACAUCUGCUGCUGUGUGCAAAGCCAUGUGUUGUACAAUAAAGCACUACAGCCUCCCCCGGUUCUGUGUCUUCACUGAAAGCCACAUCUGCCCCACCAAUAUCUGCUCCCUUCACCCAGCCUGUGCAACCACCUCACCCCAUUCUAGACGAUGAUGUGGAAGCAUAAAGAUUGGGGGCUUUUACUGGAAAA